Molecule: ribosomal RNA, 483 nt
Filed under: uncultured bacterium
Lineage: Bacteria
Description: partial 16S ribosomal RNA
Rfam family: Bacterial small subunit ribosomal RNA
Source: RNAcentral
AUUGAACGCUGGCGGCAGGCCUAACACAUGCAAGUCGAGCGGAUGAAGGGAGCUUGCUCCUGGAUUCAGCGGCGGACGGGUGAGUAAUGCCUAGGAAUCUGCCUGGUAGUGGGGGAUAACGUCCGGAAACGGGCGCUAAUACCGCAUACGUCCUGAGGGAGAAAGUGGGGAUCUUCGGACCUCACGCUAUCAGAUGAGCCUAGGUCGGAUUAGCUAGUUGGUGGGGUAAUGGCCUACCAAGGCGACGAUCCGUAACUGGUCUGAGAGGAUGAUCAGUCACACUGGAACUGAGACACGGUCCAGACUCCUACGGGAGGCAGCAGUGGGGAAUAUUGGACAAUGGGCGAAAGCCUGAUCCAGCCAUGCCGCGUGUGUGAAGAAGGUCUUCGGAUUGUAAAGCACUUUAAGUUGGGAGGAAGGGCAGUAAGUUAAUACCUUGCUGUUUUGACGUUACCAACAGAAUAAGCACCGGCUAACUUCGUG